RNAcentral lists this ribosomal RNA (92 nucleotides) under Oryzias latipes (Japanese medaka). The record is from RNAcentral. Lineage: Eukaryota; Metazoa; Chordata; Actinopteri; Beloniformes; Adrianichthyidae.
UAGCACAGUUGUGCCACCCUGGACAAUCCCGAUCUCUUCUGAUCUGGAAGCUAAGCAGAGUUGGGAGACCACCUGGGACUACCAGGUGCUGU